GACGAACGCUGGCGGCGCGCUUAAUACAUGCAAGUCGAACGAGAAGCCAGAGCUUGCUCUGGUGGAAAGUGGCGAACGGGUGAGUAACACGUGAGAAACCUGCCCCAAAGAUUGGGAUAAGCCUUGGAAACGAGGUCUAAUACCAAAUACCUUCUUUUUAACACAUGUUAAAAAGAAGAAAUGCUCCGGCGCUUUGGGAUGGUCUCGCGAUCUAUCAGCUUGUUGGUGAGGUAACGGCUCACCAAGGCAUCGACGGAUAGCUGGUCAGAGAGGAUGUCCAGCCACAUUGGAACUGAGACACGGUCCAAACUCCUACGGGAGGCAGCAGUAGGGAAUCUUGCACAAUGAGGGAAACCUUGAUGCAGCGACGCCGCGUGCGGGACGAAGGCCCUAGGGUUGUAAACCGCUUUCAGUAGGGACGAAAGUGACGGUACCUACAGAAGAAGACCCCGGCCAACUAUGUGCCAGCAGCCGCGGUAAU
This 481-nucleotide ribosomal RNA is filed under the name uncultured bacterium. Its description in RNAcentral is "bacterial SSU rRNA". It matches the Rfam family "Bacterial small subunit ribosomal RNA", at positions 28 to 524 of the family's 1533-position model. The record is from RNAcentral.